UCCAGCUCCAAUAGCGUAUAUUAAAGUUGUUGCAGUUAAAAAGCUCGUAGUUGAAUUUCGGGAUCAAUAUGUUGGUCGUGCCUUGGUACGUACUGGCGUCAUUGGUUUCUACCUUCUGAAGAACCUCGAUGUCAUUAAUUUGGUGUCUUGGGGAAUCAGGACCGUUACUUUGAAAAAAUUAGAGUGUUUAAAGCAAGCUCACGCUUGAAUACAUUAGCAUGGAAUAAUGAAAUAGGACGUUUGAUUCUAUUUUGUUGGUUUCUAGGAUCGACGUAAUGAUUAAUAGGGAUAGUUGGGGGCAUUAGUAUUCAAUUGUCAGAGGUGAAAUUCUUGGAUUUAUUGAAGACUAACUACUGCGAAAGCAUUUGCCAAGGAUGUUUUCAUUAAUCAAGAACGAAAGUUAGGGGAUCGAAGACGAUCAGAUACCGUCGUAGUCUUAACCAUAAACUAUGCCGACUAGGGAUCGGAUGANUAUUUUUUGGAGGGGCAAG
RNAcentral lists this ribosomal RNA (491 nucleotides) under vouchered mycorrhizae (Glomus). Its description in RNAcentral is "SSU rRNA". It matches the Rfam family "Eukaryotic small subunit ribosomal RNA", at positions 584 to 1075 of the family's 1831-position model. The record is from RNAcentral. Lineage: Eukaryota; Fungi; Glomeromycota; Glomeromycetes; Glomerales; Glomeraceae.